UACGUAGGAUGCAAGCGUUGUCCGGAAUUACUGGGCGUAAAGGGCGAGCAGGUGGCACUACAAGUCUGAUGUAAAAUCUCCCGGCUUAACUGGGAGGGGCCAUUGGAAACUGUAGAGCUGGAGUGCAGGAGAGGCUAACGGAAUUCCCGGUGUAGUGGUGAAAUGCGUAGAUAUCGGGAGGAACACCAGUGGCGAAGGCGGUUAGCUGGCCUGUAACUGACACUGAGGCACGAAGGCUAGGGGAGCGAACAGG
Molecule: ribosomal RNA, 253 nt
Filed under: uncultured bacterium
Lineage: Bacteria
Description: partial 16S ribosomal RNA
Rfam family: Bacterial small subunit ribosomal RNA
Source: RNAcentral